This 497-nucleotide ribosomal RNA is filed under the name uncultured bacterium. RNAcentral's name for it is "partial 16S ribosomal RNA". It matches the Rfam family "Bacterial small subunit ribosomal RNA", at positions 28 to 507 of the family's 1533-position model. The record is from RNAcentral.
GACGAACGCUGGCGGCGUGCCUAAUACAUGCAAGUUGAGCGCUGAAGGUUGGUACUUGUACCAACUGGAUGAGCAGCGAACGGGUGAGUAACGCGUGGGGAAUCUGCCUUUGAGCGGGGGACAACAUUUGGAAACGAAUGCUAAUACCGCAUAAAAACUUUAAACACAAGUUUUAAGUUUGAAAGAUGCAAUUGCAUCACUCAAAGAUGAUCCCGCGUUGUAUUAGCUAGUUGGUGAGGUAAAGGCUCACCAAGGCGAUGAUACAUAGCCGACCUGAGAGGGUGAUCGGCCACAUUGGGACUGAGACACGGCCCAAACUCCUACGGGAGGCAGCAGUAGGGAAUCUUCGGCAAUGGACGAAAGUCUGACCGAGCAGCGCCGCGUGAGUGAAGAAGGUUUUCGGAUCGUAAAACUCUGUUGGUAGAGAAGAACGUUGGUGAGAGUGGAAAGCCCAUCAAGUGACGGUAACUACCCAGAAAGGGACGGCUAACUACGUG